This 380-nucleotide long non-coding RNA is filed under the name Ananas comosus (pineapple). RNAcentral's name for it is "long non-coding RNA (ACOM_LNC043573)". Lineage: Eukaryota; Viridiplantae; Streptophyta; Magnoliopsida; Poales; Bromeliaceae. The record is from RNAcentral.
UUACCCUCUCUCUCUCUAUGUAACGCCCGUGUCCCCUGUCUUCUCUUCCCCUCAUUGCAUCACUCUGUCUUCCUCCUCUCUAUAACUCAUUCUUCUCCACAACCACCAUAUCCUCUCUUUCUCUCUAUAUAACUCCCGUGUCCUUCCUCUCCCCUUCUUCUCCCUGCGUCUCUCCGUCUUUCCCAAUCUCUGUAACUCCCCAUUCUUCUCUAACCACUACGAGUCUUUGCAAAAGAGACACCACACAUCCUUUUUAAUCCAAACCCUUACAAGCUUCAAUCGAACAAUCGACAUAAACCGAUCAUUUCCUCAUCAAUAUAUCCAAUGGUCGAGAUCAUACGAGAUUUGUUGGAACUUUUUCCACGGUCCAGAUCAUACGA